RNAcentral lists this microRNA (20 nucleotides) under Homo sapiens (human). RNAcentral describes it as "hsa-miR-6125". The record is from miRBase by way of RNAcentral. Lineage: Eukaryota; Metazoa; Chordata; Mammalia; Primates; Hominidae.
GCGGAAGGCGGAGCGGCGGA